CAAUAAGCGGAGGAAAAGAAACUAACAAGGAUUCCCCUAGUAACUGCGAGUGAAGCGGGAUGAGCUCAAAUUUUGAAUCUGGCGGUCUCUGGCCGUCCGAGUUGUAAUCUAGAGAAGUGUUUUCCGCGCUGGACCGUGUACAAGUCUCCUGGAAGGGAGCGUCAUAGAGGGUGAUAAUCCCGUCUUUGACACGGACUACCAGGGCUAUGUGAUGCGCUCUCGACGAGUCGAGUUGUUUGGGAAUGCAGCUCAAAUUGGGUGGUAAAUUCCAUCUAAAGCUAAAUACAGGCGAGAGACCGAUAGCGAACAAGUACCGUGAGGGAAAGAUGAAAAGAACUUUGGAAAGAGAGUUAAACAGUACGUGAAAUUGCUGAAAGGGAAACGCUUGAAGUCAGUCGCGUUGGCCGGGGAUCAGCCUUGCAAUUUUUUGCUGGGUGCACUUCCUGGUUGACGGGUCAGCAUCAAUUUUGAUUGUUGGAAAAGGGUCAAGGGAAUGUGGCAUCCUUCGGGGUGUGUUAUAGCCUUUGAUCGUAUGCAACGGUUGGGAUUGAGGAACUCAGUACGACCCCUUGUGGGUUCGGGGCUUCGGCCUACGUGCGUGCUUAGGAUGCUGGCAUAAUGGCUUUAAUCGACCCGUCUUGAAACACGGACCAAGGAGUCUAACAUGCACGCGAGUGUUUGGGUGUUUAAAACCCGAGCGCGCAAUGAAAGUGAAAGUUGAGACCUCUGUCGUGGAGGGCAUCGACGCCCGGGCCUGAACUUUUGUGACGGUUCUGCGGUAGAGCGUGUACGUUGGGACCCGAAAGAUGGUGAACUAUGCCUGAAUAGGGUGAAGCCAGAGGAAACUCUGGUGGAGGCUCGUAGCGAUUCUGACGUGCAAAUCGAUCGUCGAAUUUGGGUAUAGGGGGCGAAAGACUAAUCGAACCAUCUAGUAGCUGGUUC
RNAcentral lists this ribosomal RNA (942 nucleotides) under Austropaxillus infundibuliformis. RNAcentral's name for it is "LSU rRNA". It matches the Rfam family "Eukaryotic large subunit ribosomal RNA", at positions 44 to 957 of the family's 3401-position model. Lineage: Eukaryota; Fungi; Basidiomycota; Agaricomycetes; Boletales; Serpulaceae. The record is from RNAcentral.